This 492-nucleotide ribosomal RNA is filed under the name uncultured bacterium. RNAcentral describes it as "partial 16S ribosomal RNA". It matches the Rfam family "Bacterial small subunit ribosomal RNA", at positions 29 to 507 of the family's 1533-position model. The record is from RNAcentral.
AGUGAACGCUGGCGGUAGACCUAACACAUGCAAGUCGAACGGCAGCACAGUAAGAGCUUGCUCUUACGGGUGGCGAGUGGCGGACGGGUGAGGAAUACAUCGGAAUCUACUUUUUCGUGGGGGAUAACGUAGGGAAACUUACGCUAAUACCGCAUACGACCUACGGGUGAAAGCAGGGGAUCUUCGGACCUUGCGCGAUUGAAUGAGCCGAUGUCGGAUUAGCUAGUUGGCGGGGUAAAGGCCCACCAAGGCGACGAUCCGUAGCUGGUCUGAGAGGAUGAUCGGCCAAACUGGAACUGAGACACGGUCCAGACUCCUACGGGAGGCAGAAGUGGGGAAUAUUGGACAAUGGGCGCAAGCCUGAUCCAGCCAUACCGCGUGGGUGAAGAAGGCCUUCGGGUUGUAAAGCCCUUUUGUUGGGAAAGAAAAGCAGCAGGUUAAUACCCCGCUGUUCUGACGGUACCCAAAGAAUAAGCACCGGCUAACUUCGUG